AGACGGAUACACUCUGCAAAAAUGAGAUCCGCCGUUUUCUGAAAAUUGGGAUACACUUUACAGACCUAGUGACUUAGAUCGAGGAGCUGAAGAAAUCAGUGACGUUGAACACAAAGGAAACCCCCCCCCCCCCACUCCCCCCCUUUGGUCGUUCUUUUCCAACAUAACUCCUCAUCAGCCAUUCUUCAAGGCCUAGGCAGCCAUCAGCCAUCGAUCAAGAACCAACGACCCCUACUUCUUCACUCGAUUCCAACCAUAAUGGCCAUCUCCCUUUAAUCUCCACCCGUUUCUUCAACGCCCAGCAACACCUUCCCCAACCACCAAGACACCAGCCAACGGCCACUCUCUCACCACCCAAAAGCACACACACACGAGCAAAGAAGCUGAAAAACAGAAAAAAGUUGGGGAAAAUCGGACAAAAGAAUCCGGGCAGAGAGGGCCAAAAGUUUCAAGGUUUUUUUGGGUUUUGAUUUCCACCUUCCUUUCUCUGAUUUCUGGUUUUCAACGAUGAAUCCGUUCAAGAUUGAGGUCAUAUCGAAUUCAUAUGGUUGGGGUGUCUGUUUGAGGUCGAAGGUCGUGUUCACUGCCUUCGUUUGAGGUUUUCCGCUUGAAGUUGCAGUUUUGGGAUUGUCGUUUGAUUUAACUGAUGUAGCUGCUAAGUUUCAUUAAUCAAAAAGCUAUUUCAGGUCCAUUUCAUCUCUCUUUCUCACUUUGAUAAUCUAUGUGUGAUUGAAAUAUAAUAAGAACCAGUAAAAUUUAUUGAAGUUUAUGGGUUAAGGUAUUUGAAUUUUCUUAGUUGAAUCUUGGUUUAUAAAAAUUUGAUUUCUGUUUAAUCAAAUUUGAUUUCGAUUGGGCUGUCGUUCGUGAUUCUUAGUUGAAGAAAGUGGUUUAAUUUCCAAGAGUGUGCUGUUACUAUUUGUUCACUUCAACUCCUUUUUUCCAAUCUAUAAAUCUUAUAUCACAUUCGGUCUUGAAGUUCAAAGGCAUGCAUCUAUGCCUCCGGUAGCAAAAGGAAUGUCUUUUAGCGAAAGUAGAAAAAUUAUUUAACAACACACGAGUUUUACUUAAUUUAUAAGAUACAAGUCUUCUUGAUAUUGUGUUUAUCUAGUAAAUUGAAAUUCAUUGAGAUCUAGGUUUUGAACACAGUUUGUGUAUUUAAUAGGACAUAUAGUAAGUUUACCCAUGUUCUAUUCUCGGAUAUUGUAAAAUUUAUUCUCUUUAUCAAUAAAGUUUAAUCAAGUUAGUUAGUUCACAUCGCUAGCAUACUUUUAGGCGCAUUUUUAAUCUAUCAUCAUGAUUGUGUACAUGUUCGCGUAACAUAAUUACGGUUCUAAAAAUCAAUUCGGAGUAUGCGUCCGCACAACUUCGAUCAAACCUUCUUAAUAAUAAAAUUGAUUUUCAUAGGCUACUAAUUUAAUUAGGUCCGAGGUGUGUCAUCCAUGAUUUAAUCAUACGUGGACCUCGUAUUAGUUUCAUAACUUAGAUAAAACAAUGGCAAAUGCUCGUAAUUGCUCUAGGCCCGUUUAAUAUAUCAUUGUGAUCGUGCACACGUUCGCGUGACAUGAUUAUGAUUUCUAAAAAACAAAACAGGAGUAUGCGUUCGCGCAACUUCAGCCAAAUUUUCUUAAUAAUAAUAAAGCGUUAUUAAUUGCGGACACGUUCGCGUGACAUGAUUUCUGACACGCCAAAUAAACGGGUACACGUACGCGUGACCCGCUUCAAGACAAUUUCUUAAUUAAAAGAGGCAAAUGCACAUAGGUUCUAAAAUGAGUAAUAGAUAAUUUGAUUAACCCAAGUAUGAUCAAAGCGACCGUGCUAAAACCACGGAACUCGGGAAUGCCUAACACCUUCUCCUGGGUUAACAUAAUUCCUUACCCUUCGCAGACCGUACAUAGAGCUAAACUUCCUCGAUUCGGGAUUUAAAACGGUGACUUGGGACACCAUAAAUUAUCCCAAGUGGCGACUCUGAAUAAUAAAUGAAUAAUCUCGUUUCGAUUGUCACUUAAAUUGAAAAAAACUCCCUUAUACCCUUCCGGGGUAGUAAAAAGUAGGUGUGACAGCUCUGGCAUCACACCUCCUUAAACACAUUGAGAUUUCUUAUACAAUUUGGGAUAUUAGCCUUCAUUUGAACUCGACAUGAAGUCAUAGCAUUUUUAAUACACAACCCAUUCUUUGAACACAUUCUCAUAUGAUAGCGUAACAUGACAAGAGCAUUUGGAAUGCAUGUUGAACAUAUAUAUCUUUCAACUCAAGCUUAUAAGAAUAUCGUGGGAUUCAAUUCUAAGAGAGAUUUAGCCAAUGUUGCUCGCUUUGAGCUUUUUUAAAUUACUACAAUAUUCCAGAAAUCUCAAUAACUCAAUCUAUUUAGAAACAUAACAAAAUUGAACCAUAAUUAGGAAGAAGUUCCACUACAAAAAAGGGCUUUAGCGGUAAUAAAAAAGAUCAUUGGCGGCAAUAACAAUUACCGCUAUACCAAUUACCUCCCAUUGAUGUUUAGUCGUUGAUAUUGGGGUCGGCAAAGCCUUUAGCGGCGUUUCUCACAAAAGCUGGUAAGUGUGUGACUUAUUGCCGCUAAAUAUGAUUUGCUUUAACAUCAAUUGUUUGCGGCAAUUAUGAUGGCUGCUAAAUCCAAUCUAAAAACGGCUAUUAAUGCUCUUUUUACGUCCAUUUUUGUAGUUGCUAAAUUCAAAAUAUUUGUCGCUAUAGGUCCAUAGCUUUAGCUGUAAUUGUUUUGUGGCAAUUAGAAUAGCUAUAAUAUUCCUUCUGAAAAGGUAUUAGUAUGCUCUUUUAGCAUCCAUUUUAAUGGCUAGUAAAUUCAAUUAAAUUGCCGCUAAAAAUCAUUUUUAACAGCAAUUAUAAUGGCUAUAAUAUCCCCUGUGGAAACAUUAUAAUUUGCCCUUUUAACAUCUAUUUUUGUAGCCAAUAUAUUAUGUUAAAUUGUCACUAUGUCACAAGCUAUAACGAUAAUAGUUUAGCCACCUUUAAUAAUAACUAUUACAUUCAUUCAAAAAAUGAUCCAAAUAAUAAAGUAUAAUAAUAUUGAUUCAUAAAAACAUAAUGUAUCUCAUUAAAUCUUAACAAACAAAAGGAAUUACUAAUCAAAAAUAGUAAUAUCACGGUAACUUAAAAAAUAAACUUAUAUUGUUUGAAGCAAUUAACUAUCGUCAUUAUAUAACUAAUUCGAACAAAUAAUAGUCUUCAAAUAAUUUCUGCAAUGCUUCAUCAUUUAGAAAUCUUCCACCGGCUAAAUUAUCGAUCAUCAGACUGUACGACCUGAAAUUACAAAAUAACUAUGUCAAUAGAUGAAAUAUAAUAGUCUUCUAACUGGGAUGUUUAUCGAGCAAACAUUGCCCCAAGCUAAAGUUGUUUUACUGUAAAAUGACAGUUCCAUUUUUUCUACAGAAUAAGACAUAACAAAUCCGACCGAAACAAAUCAAACUGUAAUAGUGUAGAUAAGAAGUAAAUCAGAGGAAUUUGCAAGAUAUCAAGCAAAUCAAAAAAAGAUUUAAGCUUUCAAAAGUGUGCAAGAUCUCCAGGAUAAUAAGGGUGAAAACCACUCCAACUAGUUUCUCAUGUAUUAUCCAGAAAGUUACGCCACGAUAAAAUGACUAUGAUUUUUGUGAUAAUCAGUCCUGUCCAGAUAAAGGUUUCUGGUCAGUAACGACUUAAUCUACAGAUAAAGAAGGUUAAACAUUUCGUUUCUUUCUAAGGACAUCCCUUCUAUAUGGUAUAUAUGUAUCAGCAUGACAAAAAGUACACUUCACAUAUAUGAAUAUUCAGGAUUAAUUGUAAUUUCUUCAAGACCUCAAGGGCUAUGACAAACCAGGAUAGCUCAUAAAUACCAUAGAAAUUUCAAAUUGAUGAAAUAAUAAUCAACAGUUCAAACAAACAAAAGCAUUGAUUCAGUUCAAACUUCUUUAUUUGUUAUAGCAACAAACCAAUCCAGGUUGUCUACCCUAAUGUUUGAACACUUUCUAUGAGCUUGUAAAUUGUUUCAUGAAGUGGUAAGAUUCAGCACACUGCAAGAAUCAAAUAGAUCCCACCAACCAUCAUCAUAUCCAAAACAACCAUGCUUAGAGACACCGUGAAAGCUAUCAUUAUAGCCAAUGGUAGGUUUAUUAAGUGUAGCUGCAUUAUCAAAAUCCAAUUAGUGACACCAGCAAAACCUAAAGGUGAGAAUAUCACGGUACUUGAUGCUCCGACUCCUAAUGGGAAUCGAGCUCAAUCAUCUACUAAACAAGUUGCUGAUUUGAAGGAUCCUAAGGCAACAGAUGGUACAGUUGGUGCAUGUACAUGAUCAACCAGUUGCUGUACCUGCUGAAUUGUUUGAAAAAACAGCAGGCUCUAAAACUAUAGCUUUGAAUAGGGUUUCUCAGGUUUGCGAUGGGGAAAAGCAAGUCUCUAAAGACCCUAUUGUUGAUCAUGUUUCAGAUCAAGGAUGUACUCAAGUUUGUCGAGGUAAUGAAGCUGUGCAACAACUUUAUAAUGGACAGGGGCAGAUUAACAUUGUGACGGAUGCAACUGUUGCACGUGCUGAACUAGUUGAAAAACCAGCAGGCUUUAAAUCUAUUGUUGUGCAUGAUGAGAGGAAAGAACUUGAAUGUGUUGAUGUUUUGGAUAGUAUAACUGCUAUAGGUGAUAAGACAAUGCUUGAACUAGCUGAGAACUGUCCAAAUAGUCCAUCUGAUCAGGCAAAUACUGAGCUUAAUCUAGGGUGCGAUGUUGUAAGUGAAGUGCAAAAUAUAGUGUUUUCUAAUAAAGCAGGUACACAAGAAAGUCUGGUGAACAUAUGAUUGUAAGGAUGGAUGGGAAUCACUUGCUAUAGUUGCACUGAUGGAGAGAGAAGAAGAAAUCUACAACACAUAAUCAAAAAAACAAUGAACGUGCAAGGGUUUGAGGAAGUGGCUAGAUCAAUAUGUCCUGAAAGAGAAACUACUCCCUUUUCUUCUCCUAUUUCUGUUACAAAUAAACUGCAAGAUGUAGUAGUACAUGAGGAACCCACACCACUGAUGUUAAUUCACUGAGUUAACUUGGACAAAUACUGUUAUGACAGAUUUUGCUGCAAACGUCUGAACAGAACAACAAGAGGAAAAUAGGAAGCAUCUUCGGACAACAAAAUUUACUAACUAGUCCCAACUUAAGUAAUUGCAAUUGAUAUAUAGUUAUCGUUAAUGUCAGAUUGUCAAGUGUACAGAAAUUAAACUCGGACAACAAAGUGACGUGUGCGUGUAUAUCAUCAAUGGGAUGCACAGUUGUUGUAGUAAUAGCACUCGACUUUCCAUUAUCUCACUGCCUAUCAGCCCUUAAUUUUACCUUUUCUACAGCUGUUGCUUUUUAUUCUUCUUCUUUCUGUGUUUCCUUAAGGGCCAAGCACUACAAUAUGGCCAAAGGAAAAUUAGCUUUAGUUGAAAUGGUGGUGUUCCUUUUGAUUUUGUGUCAACAGUAUGUACUGUGAACACCACCAAUUAUAAGGGAGAAAAAGAAGCUGACAGACUAAUAUCUUUGCCAAGUCAACCGAAGGCAGAAAAGCUUUCAGUUAACUUUUCUGAUAUAAAGAGACGUAAGUGCUCAAAAUAUUUUGGAUUUACAUAAAAAGGAGAUUAAAGCAUCUAUAUUAUGCAAUCAUAUCAUGCAUAAAUUCACUACUAGCUAAUAUAUGAUGCUUUUAACCCGACGCUAACAUGCUUUUAUAUUCUUCAAAACCUAAUGCUUUUAUAUUUUAGUUAGCUUCACGGGUGAAAAAUAUCUUUAGUACACCAAAUGAUAAAUAGUGUUCCAAUACAUACAGUGAAGCUUAUAAGACCUCCGAAAUAAUAAUUAGUCCCAUUGCCCACUGAAAAUAGAGGAAAAAGUUAACAGAAAUCUUUUGUGUUUAAUAGUUGCUCAUAUUUCAAUCUAAAAACAGUGGCCAGGUGCAGUAGUUCAUUUUCCUACUGUAUAAAACCAAUUUAAUAUAAGUAGUGUUUUAGACACAUGGAGAGUGAACAGAAAUAUUUCACCUUUAGUUCAGAAAUAUUCUGGAUGGUAUUUCAAACAGUAAAAAACUCAAACAAUAGUGCACUGAAGGAUAAAGAUGAGUAGUAUCGUGAUAAAGUGAAGUAUUUUCAGCAACACUGCGUAUCCUUGAUGUUUGUGGUACUCGUUCAUGGCCGUUGUUGGCUUCAGGGACCUGAUAAAUAUUCACACAUUAGAUAACAAUACUUUUGUAGGAUUAAAAUUUCAUUAAGAAUGUCUAAAACUUAUGAAAUCGAGUUACCUGUUCACUUAAGGUGCCAUCGACAUUUUGAGGCAUAAGUUCAUUAGAAGUAUAUUUGCGCAUGAGUUGUCUCAUUUUGAGUAAUUCUGAUUGCAUCUUCUCUUGAUUUUGUUUCAUCGGGUUCAUUUCUUCAUUGUGUUUAUCCUUUAACUCGGUUAUCUCUUGUUCUAACCGUUGUACAACCUCAUCAGACGAAUCCUCCCCAAUAAUAUUUCCUAAGGAAGAUUUAUUACCCCUUAGCACAAAAGGAGUUGGACCAAGUACUAAACCAUGAACAUAUCCACUUUUGUCAUUACCGAAUACCUGGGAAUACACAUCGCCUUCCCAAGCAACACUGCGAGGAGGUUGGUCAGCAAAGCUCUCGCUAUUGCUCGUCCUUUCAUUUAUCAUUAGGCCAAAUCCAUAACGUAACAUAUCGUACACUAAAUCAGUCUAGUACCAGAUGUCAAGUUUUGAUCCCACAAAGAAGGCAUAACAGGAAAUGUCUUCCUGAUUAUCUCCCUAAUAGAUAACAUUCAAACUACCAAAAUUACUUAACAUUAAUCCAUUGCAUUAAUUCAGAUAUAAAUCAUAAAAUAUACUUUUGGGGUAAUUUUUGCAACAACUAAAUGUUGAAAACAAAGGUAUUAUAUGAAAUAUUGAUGGACGUGAGUUGAAAACAGAGGUGUAACUUGAAGUUGCAUUACAUGUAGUAGACAAAUCUGGAAAUCUUUUUAAUGUAGCGGAUGUUUGGACUAAUGAGAAAAGGUAAGUUGAAGCGGAAAAUACAGAUUUAAGAGAAUGCAAAAUGAUUCAACCAAUUUUAUCGUGAGUAAAUGAUUGUACAACAAAGAACAAAGUUCUGUAUAUACUCGUUUAUCUUAUUUUUCUAUUCUAUCUAUUCUCAGUUAUUUGAUACUACUAUUUUUUUUCUAGAUUUCACUUCGAAUGGAUACUUUUGGUGUUCAAAUAUAAGUAAAAGAUUAUUCUGAUCCUUUUAGACCUUCACGCGGACAAACUAACCAGUUGUAAAAUAUUUUGCGAACCUUUUAGCCACUAAAACUCUUCUUUGUAAUGAGGUAAACAUCAGCCUAAUAAUGCAAUAAAUCAUCAACUAACAAUAUAUAUAUAUAUANNNNNNNNNNNNNNNNNNNNNNNNNNNNNNNNNNNNNNNNNNNNNNNNNNNNNNNNNNNNNNNNNNNNNNNNNNNNNNNNNNNNNNNNNNNNNNNNNNNNNNNNNNNNNNNNNNNNNNNNNNNNNNNNNNNNNNNNNNNNNNNNNNNNNNNNNNNNNNNNNNNNNNNNNNNNNNNNNNNNNNNNNNNNNNNNNNNNNNNNNNNNNNNNNNNNNNNNNNNNNNNNNNNNNNNNNNNNNNNNNNNNNNNNNNNNNNNNNNNNNNNNNNNNNNNNNNNNNNNNNNNNNNNNNNNNNNNNNNNNNNNNNNNNNNNNNNNNNNNNNNNNNNNNNNNNNNNNNNNNNNNNNNNNNNNNNNNNNNNNNNNNNNNNNNNNNNNNNNNNNNNNNNNNNNNNNNNNNNNNNNNNNNNNNNNNNNNNNNNNNNNNNNNNNNNNNNNNNNNNNNNNNNNNNNNNNNNNNNNNNNNNNNNNNNNNNNNNNNNNNNNNNNNNNNNNNNNNNNNNNNNNNNNNNNNNNNNNNNNNNNNNNNNACAAGAGAGUAACAGAGGAGUAAUCAAUUCAAUCAAUCGACUAUCAAUCUAACAACAACCAGAUAUCACAAAUGACUUAGUAAACACAGAAAAAGUUAUACUUUCACUAAUCCCAAAAGGCCGUAGUUGGAUAUCAAAAAUCAAAAUUGGAACCUGGUAAGCAAGAAUUUUUGCCGAUUAAGAGCAGAAAUUGAAGGAGACGAAGGCUUUCUGCAAUAAUUCUUGAAACCUACACGAAACAGAAGUUGAAGACGAAUGAGAGGGAGAAGAUUGACAGAGAAGACUGAUAAUAAUCGAGCAGCAUCAACCCAAAAUUAUAUAUAACUCGAUCGAUAACGACCUGGCAUGGACGGAGACCGUGGCAGGGUAGAGGCUUUUGUAGCGAUGCUGUUAACGCGUAGGUUUUCUGUCGUUAUUCUAUAUCGUUCUAAUUACAGGCGUCAUUCUUCUAUAUCAUUCUAAUUACAGGGUUUGGUUUUUCUAUUGUUUUUUAAUUGUAGGGUUUUCUAAUUAGUGGGAAUGUAAUUUAUUAUCGCAAAAAAUUGGACAGAAAGAUUGUAUGGAGGGAAAGUUAAAAUAAUAAAAAAUAUAAUUCAAUUAGGGAUUUUUAGUUGCAAUUAUUUUUUAUUGUCGUUAAAAAUAUAUCUUUUACUGGCUAAUGGUCAUGUGCCGCUAAUAUUUUAGCUUAUUAGCUUAAAUAAUUCAUUAGUGAAAAUUACCUAAUUCCCGCUAAAUAAUUGCCGCCAAAGACCUUUUUUGUAGUAGUGUUCAUGGUCUAGCUCGUUUGAGAAUUUCAUCAAACACUAUGUGUGAAAAUUAGCUACAAGGUACUUCUACAAGAUUUCAUUUACCCCACAACCAAUUCAACACCUAGAGUUCACCCAUACUAGUUCAAUGACCUUUCCACAACUCUUGAUAGUACAUGCAUACAUAAAUAACACUCCCACACCCAAAAUUCAUACUUUUCAUUCACCAUCUUCCACCCCAAAUUCGAAAUUAGAAAACUAGGGUUAGAAACUUACCUCUUGGGUAAUGAUCUUGUGAGCUUUCUUGUUGAAUUUCAAUGCUUGAGCAAGAUUUGAUGAGCAAUAUGGAUAGGUCUCCUCUUUUUCUCUCUAAAUACUCUUACCUCUAUCUAAAAAUAUCAAAUGAAAUCAGCCAAAAUAAAUCCCAAAUGGUUUUUAUAAAAAUGGGGUUAGGUAAAAUUUUUCAGAACUUAAACUUGCCGAAACUAGGUCUAAGGUCACAGACUGUACCGCAUAAUCAAUCUUUUGCCUGCAAAAUGGCUGCAAAAAAUGAUGCUAAGAAACUGGACCAGUCUGCGGCUGACAUGCAGUCCGCAUACCAGUUUUGCGACUAUAGAAUGGGCCGCAGAAUCCCCUUCCAAAUAUUUCAUUCCAAUUUUGUGACAGAAAUGUGAUCUGCAUAAUGGAUAUGCGAUCGCAUAAUGGACCGCACGAUUCACCUUCAAAUUUUCAAAAGUUUUCUACUUCACUUUGCGGCCGAUAUGCGUCCUGCAUAAUGAUUUUGUGAUCGCAAACUUGAAUGCAGAAUCACCUUCUUCAGCCAAAAUUUCCAUCCACAAUUUAGUGCAUUCUUCGACCCAAUCAUUAACACAUAAGCCUAACUCAGCACAAGGAAAUCCCGUGUUUUAGGUAAAAAAUUUACGGGGCCUUAUAGGAUCCCCCACUUAGAAUCAUUCGUCCUCGAAUGAGGGUAAAAAUCUGCCAUUAGCAUCCAACGUGACUCAACUUAUUACUUCACACACCGGUCAUGCCAAUUUUUUACUAACUCCUAAAAUUUGCAAAAACUUCGCCAGAGUUUCCCUUGUAACUGGGCCUAUCUACCCGUUAGAGAAUCUCAGAAACCAAUCCUAACAACGUACGCAUAAACCAUCAAUGCAACAUAACAUGGAAACAACACCAAUCGUGGUCUCAUAAUCAAUAUAUUUCCAGAAAGGAACACCAUUAACACAGACUAUAUCGGUGUUACAUAUUUCAUAGAGGGUAAGCUCUUAACAUUUUCAUUGAACACAAUUUCGUAAAUACACUGUCAUUCAAAUAUAUGGGGAUACUUUUAUUCAUAUAUUCCCCGGACUCCCAUAUGGCCUCUUCUACCUGUUGGUUCAACCAUAGCACUUUCAUGGAGGCAAUCUCUUCAUUUCUCAACUUUCGGACUUGCGUAUAAAUAAUGGAAACUGGAAUUUAUUCCUAAGUCAAUUCUUCAUUAACCUUAAUAGUUUCAACUGGAACAAUGAGUGCCAGACCUCCAACUACCUCCUUCAAUGUAGACACAUAAACAGAAGCACCGGGUGCACUAAUGACAUUUCAGGUGGUAGUUCAAUUUUUUGUAAGCCACCUGACCAACAUUUUGAAUGAUUCUGUACGGCUCAACAUACCUCGUGCUCAAUUACCCAUUUUUACCAAUUCACAUUACUCUUCAUGGCUGAAACCUUUAAGAAUACCCAAUCAUUUUUUUUGAACACAAAAUCCCUACGUCGAACAUCCGAAUAGGACUUCUGAUAACUAUAAGUAGUUUUAGGUAAAAAAAAUUCGGGACCUUACAAAAGCGCAUUGGAACCGCAUGUGCGAUUGCACAGAAGUGAUCCCGCAUGUGCAAAUUUUGGGCCGCAGGUGCGGUUGUUUGGGUGGCUAAGUGAUUUCCAUAGAAGCAGAGUUGCAGGUGCGACUGGUGAGUCCGUAUGAGCAAAAAGGCUGGCAAAGAUUUAAAAUUGAGGAUUUGAGUUCUUCUUAUUUUGAGAGUUUUGGGGUGCGGAUUUAGGCGAUUUUUGGAGAGAUUUUCACCUAGAUUGAAGAGGUAAGUGAUUUGUCAUCAAUUUUAUCCAUGUUUUUUGAUUAUCCAUUAUUUCACCUAUUUAUCAUGAAUCUAAGUUGGAAUUUGGGGUUUUUUGACACAUGUAUUGGGAGUAAGAUUUGAGGGUUUGAGGGUCGAUUUUUUGCUGGAAUUGGAUAAUUUUGGUAUAGUUGGACUCAUUAUUCAAUGGUUGUUCGAAUUUUGUAAAUUUUAUCAGGUUUCGAGACGUGAGCUCGGGUUGACUUUUAGGCUUUGGUUAAUGAUCUUAGGUUUACCAUUUGGGAUCAAUUCCUAUAGCUUUUAGUGAUAGUAUUACGUUGCUUUUGGCUAUAUUCGAGCCUUCCAAAGAUUGAUGCACGUGGGAAAGGCAUGCUAGCGGAGCGAUUUGAUUUCUUGAGGUAAGUAUCUUAUCUAAACUCGGUUGAGACACUAGUUGCCUGAAUUAUUGUGACAGGUACGUGCUAUUGGGUGCGUACAUGCAUGGGGUUGAACCCAUGUGCUGACACCGGGUUUUUUUAUUCAUGUUUGUGUUGUGCUCAGGCUCUUAUAAGCGUAGAAUUUGACUGUUAAACCUUAAUCUAUGAUGCUUUGCACAUUUGUGGCGUUGUUGUUAACUAUUUGAGCCAUGUUUGAGGCCACAUAGGCGUUUAAUACCCGAAUGAACUGAUAAAUGUUAUUCUCUAUGGAAAUUGUCAGUUUGAGCUAAGAUAGUUGUAAUGACUCGGCCGGUCGUUUUAAGAAUUAUUUCCCCGAUCCCCUAUUAACUACUUUCCCCAUGUUUGUUUAAGCUAUUUUGAUUUGCCGAGAUGUUUCGUUUUGAGUUUCAGAGAGUUUUCGGACACUUAGUCCCUAAAUGAGAGUUUAAGUUUUAGAAUUUGGACUAUAGUUGGAACAGUGUGAAGAUGAUCUCAGAAUGGAAUUCUGUUGGUUCCGUUAGCUUCGUUGGGUGAUUUGGGGCUUAGGGGUGUUUUUGUAUUGUGUUUUGGAGGUCCGUAGCUAAUUUAGGCUUAAAAUGCCGAAAGUUGAAUUUUUUAAGUUUCCGAUUCGAUAUUGAGAUUUUGAUAUAAGGGUCGGAAUGGAAUUCCAGAAGUUGGAGUAGCUCCGUAGUGUUGAAUGUGACAUGUGUGCAAAUUUUAAGGUCAUUCGGACGAGUGUUGAUAAACUUUUUGAUCGAAAGCGUAAUUUGAGAGUUUUUUGAGUUCUUAGGCUUGAAUCCAUGGUUAAUUCGAUGUUUCAAUGUUGUUUUAGGUGUUUUAAGGUUUGGUAUAAGUUUGGAUAGUGGUAUAUGACUCGUUCGUGCUUUUGAUUGAGGUCCCGGGGGCCUCGGGAUGAUUUCGGAUGGUUAACGGGAAGUUGAGAGUUAGUGUGCAGCUGAAGUUGCUGGAUUUAUGUCAUAACCGCACCUGCGGAUUGGGGACCGCACCUGCGGAGCCACAGAAGAGGUUGGGAGAGCACAAAUGCGGCCAGAUAAGUAAAAGCUAGAAACCGCAGGUGCGGAAGUGCCCACAUACCUGCGUGACCGCAUAUGUGGUAGAAGAAGCGGAGGUGCGGCCCAACCCUUUAAGUGGAAUUUUGAAGAUGCACACCUAGAGCCACAGGUGCGGGUCUGCAGGUGCGAGAAAAAGGCUGCAGGUGUGGAAACCCUGGGCCAGAACCUAUAUAAGGUUUUAGUCGCGAUUUUUGCCCAUUCUUUCACCAUUUUCAUCCGGGAUUUGAGCUUUUUAGGAGGUUUUUGCAAGGGAAUCCAAGGGAGCUUCGAGGAGGUAAUAUUCUUGGAACCUAAACUCAUUAUUAUGGUGAUUUUUAUCAUUGUAAGCAUGAAAUUUGAGGUAAAUUCAGUAGUAAAUUGGGGGUUAGGGCUUGGUUAAUUAAAGAACUUUGAGUGAUGAUUUGAGGGAACAUUUGAGGUCUGAUUUUGGUACUUUUCGUAUGACUGAACUCGUGAGAGUAUGAAAAUUCUGAAAAUGUAAAUUUUACUUGAUUCCGAGACGUGGGUCCGAGGGGCGCUUUGGUAAUUUUACCUAAUUUUGCAUAUUAGCUUAGAAUUUAUUUGUAGAAUUAGUUACCUGAAGUGUUAUUUAUAUUACGCAAUUGAAUUGAAUAGAUUUGGGCCAUUUGGAGUCGAGUACUCAUGGCAAGAGCGUGGUUUCGGGUUGAUUUUGAGCCGGUUCGAGGUAAGUGGCUUGCCUAACCUUGUGUAGGGGAAACUCCCCUUAGGAUUUUGGUAUUAUUGAUAUUUGAAAUGCCUUGUAUGUAAGGUGACGAGUGCGUACUUGUGCUAAUUAUUGAAAAUCCGAUUUUUCUUAAAUAACUAUAAUUGUGUUUCCUUUCCUCUUUAUACUACUUAUAAUUUAAGCCUAUUAUUAGCUUAGGGAACCAUGUCUAAUUGACUUAAUUGCCUUACUUGUUCAAACUGUCUUAUUUAGAUUAUGUGCAGCAUGCUAGGCUAGAGAUACCUUUUUUACCUUGGUAUGGAAUUGAAUUGAAUUGUGUAUUCUUCGUGUUGUUGCUGUGUGUGUACUUUGGGACUACGGGAUGGUAUCCCGAGAGAUCCCUCUACACUUUUAUAUUGGAUCUAGGGGACGACACUCGAUAUAUUCCCCCAGUACUGAGUAUUUACAUUUGGGACUACGGAUCGGUAUUCCGGGAGAUCCCCAGACAUUAUGAGUUGGACUAUGAGACGAUAUACUGGGAGAUCUACUAGAUAUUUAUAUUUGGGACUACAGGACAGUAUCCUGGGAGAUCCCCUAUUGUUAUCUCUAUGUUGAGCUGUAUUUCUUUCCGUGAUUAUUUCGUCUCUGUUAUAUUUGUUAUUGCUAUUUCCAUCUUGUGUUACUUCCUACUAUUGCACUUAUUGUACUGUCUCAUUCUACACUAUUAUACCUUGUAUUUUACUUAACCUCAGUAUGGCCCUGGCCUUCCUCGUCACUACCCGACCGAGGUUAGGCUUGGCACUUACUGAGUACCGUUGUGGUGUACUCAUGCCCUUUCUGCGCAUGUUUUUCAUGUGCAGAUCCAGGUACUUCCACUCUGUCUUAUCACUUUUGAGGCAAGGUGCUGAUGUAGAGACUCCGAGGUAUAUCUGUCGCGUCUGCAGACCGAAGAGUCCCUUUCUAUUCUCAGUACUAG
RNAcentral lists this long non-coding RNA (13840 nucleotides) under Nicotiana tabacum (common tobacco). Its description in RNAcentral is "long non-coding RNA (NTAB_LNC004511)". Lineage: Eukaryota; Viridiplantae; Streptophyta; Magnoliopsida; Solanales; Solanaceae. The record is from RNAcentral.